AGAGUUUGAUCCUGGCUCAGGACGAACGCUGGCGGCGUGCUUAACACAUGCAAGUCGAGCGGUAAGGCCCUUCGGGGUACACGAGCGGCGAACGGGUGAGUAACACGUGGGUGACCUGCCCUCAGCUCUGGGAUAAGCCUGGGAAACUGGGUCUAAUACCGGAUAUGACCUCUCAUCGCAUGGUGGGUGGUGGAAAGUUUUUCGGCUGGGGAUGGGCCCGCGGCCUAUCAGCUUGUUGGUGGGGUAGUGGCCUACCAAGGCGACGACGGGUAGCCGGCCUGAGAGGGUGACCGGCCACACUGGGACUGAGACACGGCCCAGACUCCUACGGGAGGCAGCAGUGGGGAAUAUUGCGCAAUGGGCGAAAGCCUGACGCAGCGACGCCGCGUGGGGGAUGACGGCCUUCGGGUUGUAAACCUCUUUCAGCAGGGACGAAGCGCAAGUGACGGUACCUGCAGAAGAAGCACCGGCCAACUACGUGCCAGCAGCCGCGGUAAUACGUAGGGUGCAAGCGUUGUCCGGAAUUAUUGGGCGUAAAGAGCUCGUAGGCGGUGUGUCGCGUCGGUCGUGAAAACCUGAGGCUCAACCUCAGGCCUGCAGUCGAUACGGGCGGACUUGAGUACUGCAGGGGAGACUGGAAUUCCUGGUGUAGCGGUGAAAUGCGCAGAUAUCAGGAGGAACACCGGUGGCGAAGGCGGGUCUCUGGGCAGUAACUGACGCUGAGGAGCGAAAGCGUGGGGAGCGAACAGGAUUAGAUACCCUAGUAGUCC
Molecule: ribosomal RNA, 770 nt
Filed under: uncultured bacterium
Lineage: Bacteria
Description: bacterial SSU rRNA
Rfam family: Bacterial small subunit ribosomal RNA
Source: RNAcentral